UAACACGUAGGGGGCAAGCGUUGUCCGGAUUUAUUGGGCGUAAAGAGCUCGUAGGCGGCUUGGUAAGUCGGGUGUGAAACCUCCAGGCUCAACCUGGAGACGCCACUCGAUACUGCUAUGGCUAGAGUCCGGUAGGGGAGCGUGGAAUUCCUGGUGUAGCGGUGAAAUGCGCAGAUAUCAGGAGGAACACCAGCGGCGAAGGCGGCGCUCUGGGCCGGAACUGACGCUGAGGAGCGAAAGCGUGGGGAGCGAACAGGAUUAGAUACCCUGGUAGUCCACGCCGUAAACGUUGGGCACUAGGUGUGGGUCGUACUCAACGCGAUCCGUGCCGUAGCUAACGCAUUAAGUGCCCCGCCUGGGGAGUACGGCCGCAAGGCUA
This 379-nucleotide ribosomal RNA is filed under the name uncultured bacterium. RNAcentral describes it as "bacterial SSU rRNA". It matches the Rfam family "Bacterial small subunit ribosomal RNA", at positions 521 to 896 of the family's 1533-position model. The record is from RNAcentral.